This 253-nucleotide ribosomal RNA is filed under the name uncultured bacterium. Its description in RNAcentral is "partial 16S ribosomal RNA". It matches the Rfam family "Bacterial small subunit ribosomal RNA", at positions 524 to 776 of the family's 1533-position model. The record is from RNAcentral.
UACGUAGGGUGCGAGCGUUGUCCGGAAUUAUUGGGCGUAAAGGACUCGUAGGCGGUUUGUCGCGUCGGGAGUGAAAACCCAGGGCUUAACCCUGGGCUGGCUUCCGAUACGGGCAGACUAGAGGUAUGCAGGGGAGAACGGAAUUCCUGGUGUAGCGGUGAAAUGCGCAGAUAUCAGGAGGAACACCGGUGGCGAAGGCGGUUCUCUGGGCAUUAACUGACGCUGAGGAGCGAAAGCAUGGGGAGCGAACAGG